GAUGAACGCUGGCGGCGUGCCUAAUACAUGCAAGUCGAGCGAACAGACGAGGAGCUUGCUCCUCUGACGUUAGCGGCGGACGGGUGAGUAACACGUGGAUAACCUACCUAUAAGACUGGGAUAACUUCGGGAAACCGGAGCUAAUACCGGAUAAUAUAUUGAACCGCAUGGUUCAAUAGUGAAAGACGGUUUUGCUGUCACUAAGAGAUGGAUCCGCGCCGCAUUGACUAUUUGGUAAGGUAACGGCUUACAAAGGCGACGAUGCGUAGCCGACCGGAGAGGGUGAUCGGCCACCUUGGAAGUGAGACCCGGUCCAAACUCCUGCGGGAGGCAGCAUUAGGGAAGCUUCGCAAAUGGCCGAAAGCCUGACGGAGCAACGCGGCGUGGGUGAUAAAGAUCUUGGGAUCGAAAACCUUUGUGAUUAGGGAAGAACAAAUGUCUACGUAACUUUUCACUCCUUGACGGUACCUAAAGAGAAAGCCACGGCUAACUACGUG
RNAcentral lists this ribosomal RNA (497 nucleotides) under uncultured bacterium. Its description in RNAcentral is "partial 16S ribosomal RNA". It matches the Rfam family "Bacterial small subunit ribosomal RNA", at positions 28 to 507 of the family's 1533-position model. The record is from RNAcentral.